Molecule: ribosomal RNA, 429 nt
Filed under: uncultured bacterium
Lineage: Bacteria
Description: bacterial SSU rRNA
Rfam family: Bacterial small subunit ribosomal RNA
Source: RNAcentral
UGAGGAAUUUUGCGCAAUGGCCGCAAGGCUGACGCAGCAACGCCGCGUGGGUGAAGAAGGCCUUCGGGUCGUAAAGCCCUGUCAGGUGGGAAGAACGACACGGGGAGGAAUAUGCUCUGUGAGUGACGGUACCACCAGAGGAAGCACCGGCUAACUCCGUGCCAGCAGCCGCGGUAAUACGGAGGGUGCGAGCGUUAUUCGGAAUUACUGGGCGUAAAGCGCGUGUAGGCGGCCAACCAAGUCUGAUGUGAAAGCCCUGGGCUUAACCUGGGAAGUGCAUUGGAAACUGGCUGGCUUGAGUACUGGAGAGGAAGGGGGAAUUCCCGGUGUAGAGGUGAAAUUCGUAGAGAUCGGGAGGAAUACCAGUGGCGAAGGCGCCCUUCUGGACGGUUACUGACGCUGAGACGCGAAAGCGUGGGGAGCAAACAG